GCCGAUAUAGCUCAUUUGGUAGAGUAUCUGAUUUGUAAUCAGGUGGUAUCAGGUUCGAGUCCUGAUAUCGGCA
This is a non-coding RNA of Gossypium hirsutum (cotton), 73 nucleotides long. Lineage: Eukaryota; Viridiplantae; Streptophyta; Magnoliopsida; Malvales; Malvaceae. The record is from Rfam.